This 21-nucleotide non-coding RNA is filed under the name Arabidopsis thaliana (thale cress). Lineage: Eukaryota; Viridiplantae; Streptophyta; Magnoliopsida; Brassicales; Brassicaceae. The record is from RNAcentral.
UUGGAACAAUGACAUUGAUGA